This 247-nucleotide ribosomal RNA is filed under the name uncultured Actinomycetes bacterium. RNAcentral describes it as "uncultured actinobacterium partial 16S ribosomal RNA". It matches the Rfam family "Bacterial small subunit ribosomal RNA", at positions 237 to 496 of the family's 1533-position model. Lineage: Bacteria; Bacillati; Actinomycetota; Actinomycetes. The record is from RNAcentral.
CCUAUCAGCUUGUUGGUGGGGUAAUGGCCUACCAAGGCGACGACGGGUAGCCGGCCUGAGAGGGUGAUCGGCCACACUGGGACUGAGACACGGCCCAGACUCCUACGGGAGGCAGCAGUGGGGAAUAUUGCACAAUGGGCGGAAGCCUGAUGCAGCGACGCCGCGUGGGGGAUGACGGUCUUCGGAUUGUAAACCCCUUUCAGUAGGGACGAAGCGCAAGUGACGGUACCUGCAGAAGAAGCACCGG